GACGAACGCUGGCGGCGUGCUUAACACAUGCCAGUCGAACGGAAAGGCCCUGCUUUUGUGGGGUGCUCGAGUGGCGAACGGGUGAGUAACACGUGAGUAACCUGCCCUUGACUUUGGGAUAACUUCAGGAAACUGGGGCUAAUACCGGAUAGGAGCUCCUGCUGCAUGGUGGGGGUUGGAAAGUUUCGGCGGUUGGGGAUGGACUCGCGGCUUAUCAGCUUGUUGGUGGGGUAGUGGCUUACCAAGGCUUUGACGGGUAGCCGGCCUGAGAGGGUGACCGGCCACAUUGGGCCUGAGGUACGGACCAGACUCCUACGGGAGGCAGCAGUGGGGAAUAUUGCCCAAUGGGCGGAAGCCUGAUGCAGCAACGCCGCGUGCGGGAUGACGGCCUUCGGGUUGUAAACCGCUUUCGCCUGUGACGAAGCGUGAGUGACGGUAAUGGGUAAAGAAGCACCGGCUAACUACGUG
RNAcentral lists this ribosomal RNA (468 nucleotides) under uncultured bacterium. RNAcentral describes it as "partial 16S ribosomal RNA". It matches the Rfam family "Bacterial small subunit ribosomal RNA", at positions 28 to 507 of the family's 1533-position model. The record is from RNAcentral.